UACGUAGGGGGCGAGCGUUGUCCGGAUUCAUUGGGCGUAAAGCGCGCGCAGGCGGUGGCGUGAGCCCGGCGUGAAAGCCCCCAGCUCAACUGAGGGAGGCCGUCGGAGACCGCGGCACUUGAGGCCGGUAGGGGAGAGCGGAAUUCCCGGUGUAGUGGUGGAAUGCGUAGAUAUCGGGAGGAACACCAGUGGCGAAGGCGGCUCUCUGGACCGGUUCUGACGCUCAGGCGCGAAAGCGUGGGGAGCGAUCCGG
This 253-nucleotide ribosomal RNA is filed under the name uncultured bacterium. RNAcentral's name for it is "partial 16S ribosomal RNA". It matches the Rfam family "Bacterial small subunit ribosomal RNA", at positions 524 to 776 of the family's 1533-position model. The record is from RNAcentral.